Long non-coding RNA from Ochotona curzoniae (black-lipped pika), 2320 nucleotides. RefSeq lists it as uncharacterized. Lineage: Eukaryota; Metazoa; Chordata; Mammalia; Lagomorpha; Ochotonidae. The transcript is spliced from 3 exons. The record is from RefSeq and is a predicted model, not a curated record.
GCCUCUUCAUGGAGAUGGAGCCCCCGACCUCCCAAUGACCUCUAAAAAUUCACAUCCACUUUCAACAUGUUACCCUGGGGACCAGGCCACAAGCUGAGUCCUUGUGUGAACAGACCACACCCACAUAGCACACCAGUUACCAUUUUUAGUUGUUGUUUUUUUAAAACUAAAAACAACCACAUGAUUAUAAAUAAUCAUUUUGUUGCUUCUCUAAAAUUUGAAGCAAGAAGCUACUGAUGUAAAAACAAUUUAGAAUAUCCUUAUAUGUCCAAAUUUAGAAGAAUGUUUUUAAAAUCAUCUAUUACAUAUACUUACAUACUGAAUGUACAAUUAUGAAGUCAUGCAUAUGAAAAUUAUAACAUGAAAUGUUUUAUUAAAAUAUUACCCUGCAAUAUGACAUAAAUUUUAACUAUGCUGUAGCAGUGAAGUGAAGUAAAAUCAGAUGUAGAAAUGGUUGGAAAAUAAUAAACCAAAGUGUUAACUAAGGAUGUGGGAGUAAGUUCACUGAUUUUUUUUCCUUCACUUUUCUGUUUAUUUCUCAUGCUGAGAAUAUAUUACUAUUUUCUUUAGGAAACUUGUGUUUUAAGAAGAAAUCCUAUCAGCUGUUUCACAAUCAUAACAGGGACCUAAGAGAUGAGUAUUGGAAAAAAUCAGAAGAUACAAUAGAAGCAAGAGCCUUUUGAUAUUGUGGAAGUCAAAUGGGAAAGAACCAUCACACAGCUCAUAACCCAAGGAUGACUUUUAUCAAAACAACAACAACAACAGAGAAAAAAAACAGUCAGUGUUCAUGAGGAUGUUGGGAAAGGCAACCUUUGGACACGGAGGGAAUGCAGCCAUUCUGGAAAACACUUUAGAGAUUCCUCAAGAAAUUCAAGCUAGAGUUACCAUAUCCUCCAACAAGAGCACUUCUGUGUUUGCAUCCAAAGGAAUCAACAUUGGGAUGUCGGAGAGCUAUUUUUACUCCUGUACUCAUUGAAGCACUAUCUAUAGUAGCCAAAACAAAGAAGCAACCUGAAUGUCUGUUUACAGAUGAGUAAGUAAAAUGUUGUGUCUAUGUACAAUAAAUACUGCUCAGCCUUUAAAAAGAAGAAAAUCCUGCCAUGUGAAAUAAUGGGUGAACCUGGAAAAUGCGAUAUUAAAUGAAAGGAAUCAAAACACAAAAGGAAAGAUACCAUAUGGGACCACUAUAAAAGGAAACUGACAUCAUUAAACUUUUUUAAAAAAGCAUAGAAUAGUGGUUGCCAAGGGCUGGAGUAGGGGAAGAUAGAGCGCCAUUAGUCAAAGCGUACAAAGACCCAUGUACCAUGUACACUGGUUGGUAGAAACGCAAAUACUGAAUGAAAAUGCAAGAUAAACUAGUCUGAGAGAUCUGUGGCAUGGUGUUGUGUCUCUAGCUAUAUUACUGCAUUAUAUCCUUAGCCAUCUUCUGAGAAGAUAGAUAUUAAGUUAUAUUCUCUCUCUCUCUCUCUCUCUCACUCACACACACACGCACACACUCCUAAAUCGCCAGGAUACAAUUGUAACAGGAAACAUUGAAGGAAAUGGUAUGGUAUGGUUAUGGGUUGAUUGUGGCCAUAGCUUUUCAGGUGUACACAUCUUUCCAAAUUCAUCAAGGCGCAUACAGCACAGCUUUUAGAAAUGUCAAAUACACAUUAAUCAUUUAAAGAUAAUUUAAUUAGGAUGUUCUCUUCAGUACAAAAUUGCUACAUCAAAUUAUUUCAAUACACAUUUUCCCACUGCCUUCCCAAGUAAUUGUACCAACCUACAACCGUAAGAGAGAAAAGUCAGCAUACCACACCCAAGCAUGUUUAUUCAGUUACUGUAUCUGCAUACGGAACUGUGAGGAAGAGUUGCUGGCAGACAUCACUGACUUUCCACGAGUCGCAAAGGAUUUUUAAGUAUUUACCUAACUCCAUAGUUGUGUCCUAGAAAUUUAUCUUGUUACACAAAACAUUUCCAAAUAACCUAAAAAAACAUAUCCUACAUGUACCAACUGUAUGCAAAGCUUGGGAGCCCAAGGAACCCUUUAGAGAAACAGGACCUCUUAUACAGUUUGGAAUUCCUUAAAACGUUGACUAGGAGGGAAUGAAGAAGCCAUUUUGUUCCCACCUGCUCCCACUGGCAUGCUUCCCAUAGUGUUCCCAGCAGAAGGGGUGAACAUGUCAAUGCUUUCUUUGCAAAUGCUGUUGCUCUGUGUAUACUUUAAUAUGUAUACCUAAACUUUGUAGAAAUGCAAUUGAUCGGCAUGAUAUUCUGCCAGCUUUGCCUUCAGACCAGAGAUGGUCUCCGCAAGAAACUGUUGAAUUUACCUGGACAAUAA